GCGGGCGUGGUGGAAUUGGCAGACACGCCAGACUUAGGAUCUGGUGCUUUUAAAGCGUGGAGGUUCAAGUCCUCUCGUCCGCA
RNAcentral lists this transfer RNA (83 nucleotides) under Planctomycetia bacterium. Its description in RNAcentral is "tRNA-Leu". It matches the Rfam family "tRNA". Rfam says of the family: Transfer RNA (tRNA) molecules are approximately 80 nucleotides in length. The record is from RNAcentral. Lineage: Bacteria; Pseudomonadati; Planctomycetota; Planctomycetia.